RNAcentral lists this transfer RNA (72 nucleotides) under Felis catus (domestic cat). It matches the Rfam family "tRNA". Rfam says of the family: Transfer RNA (tRNA) molecules are approximately 80 nucleotides in length. Their secondary structure includes four short double-helical elements and three loops (D, anti-codon, and T loops). Further hydrogen bonds mediate the characteristic L-shaped molecular structure. tRNAs have two regions of fundamental functional importance: the anti-codon, which is responsible for specific mRNA codon recognition, and the 3' end, to which the tRNAs corresponding amino acid is attached (by aminoacyl-tRNA synthetases). tRNAs cope with the degeneracy of the genetic code in two manners: having more than one tRNA (with a specific anti-codon) for a particular amino acid; and 'wobble' base-pairing, i.e. permitting non-standard base-pairing at the 3rd anti-codon position. The record is from Rfam by way of RNAcentral. Lineage: Eukaryota; Metazoa; Chordata; Mammalia; Carnivora; Felidae.
ACCUGGCUGGCUCAUUCGGUAGAGCAUGAGACUCUCGAUCUCCGAGUCAUGAGUUCAACCCCACGCUGGGCG